Molecule: ribosomal RNA, 17 nt
Filed under: Trichoderma harzianum
Lineage: Eukaryota; Fungi; Ascomycota; Sordariomycetes; Hypocreales; Hypocreaceae
Also listed under: 3 other names
Description: partial 28S ribosomal RNA
Source: RNAcentral
UGACCUCGAUCAGGUAG